GCAAAAACUCAAAAUAGAUACCAGGUGUCUGCUGUGAAGGGCUCCUCAGGUGGUCUGAAGGGGCUCUAAGCAGCCCCUCCAGUCUCAGAGAUGCCAUCCCUGCUGUCACUGCUGGGGUGGGGAGAAAGGGGACAAUGAACACUGGGAUCCUCCCGUGGCCACAAACAAACCCGGCCAGAAGCUGCAAGAGAGAAGCCAGGACCAUUUCCAUUUCCUCGGGGACCCCCAGACCAACAACUGUUCCCUGAGCAUCAGAGACACCAGGAGGAAAGAUGGCAGAGUAUAUUUCUUUUGGUUGAAGAGGAGUCCGUCGUGAAUUUCAGCUUCAAGCAAAAGACACUGUCUUUGAAUGUGACAGGUCUCUGCCUCUCUCUCUCCCAGCCCUCACCCAGACACCUGACAUCCAAGUCCCAGCAACUCUGGAAUCUGGCCAUCCUGUGAAACUGACCUGCUACGUGUCAGCAGCCUGUAAAAGCAGGAAGCCUCUCACCUUUUCGUGGAUAUGGGGAACUGUCAUUUCCUUGGGCCCUGGGACACCUCAAUUCUCAGAGAUCACCAUCAUCCCACAUCCCUGGAGCCACGGCUCCAAUAUCACCUGCCCAGUGACUUUCCCAAGGUUUAAUGUGACCGCAGAGAUGACCUUCCAACUCAAAGUCUCCUAUGCUCCACAGAACCUGACCAUGUGUCUUCCAUGGAAACAACACAGGUGGUGGCAUGAGGACAGCCGUGAAAGGACACUGAGGUGGGCUGACAACAUUCAGACGGUCCCCAAACUCCUCUCUCUCCUCACCAGCCCUGACACACAAGCCCAACAUUUUCAUC
This 822-nucleotide long non-coding RNA is filed under the name Rhinopithecus bieti (black snub-nosed monkey). RNAcentral describes it as "lncRNA (ENSRBIG00000045730.1)". The record is from RNAcentral. Lineage: Eukaryota; Metazoa; Chordata; Mammalia; Primates; Cercopithecidae.